Molecule: ribosomal RNA, 615 nt
Filed under: uncultured bacterium
Lineage: Bacteria
Description: bacterial SSU rRNA
Rfam family: Bacterial small subunit ribosomal RNA
Source: RNAcentral
GGCGAUCGGGUGCGUAACACCUGAGAAACCAACCCCGGUCUCUGGGAUAACAGGUGGAAACACCUGCUAAUACCGGAUGCGGUCGUGUCCUCGCAUCGGGAUAUGACGAAAGGGCUUCCGGAUCGGGACGGUCUCGCGGCCUAUCAGCUUGUUGGAGAGGAAACGGCUCACCAAGGCAUCGACGGGUAGCUGGUCUGAGAGGAUGAUCAGCCACACUGGGUCUGAGACACGGCCCAGACUCCUACGCGAGGCAGCAGUGGGAAAUCUUGCGCAAUGGGCGAAAGCCUGACGCAGCAACGCCGCGUGCGGGAUGAAGGCCUUCGGGUAGUAAACCGCUUUUACCAGGAAGGAAAAUGACAGUAACUGGAGAAUAAGGUGCGGCCAACUACGUGCCAGCAGCCGCGGUGACACGUAGGCUCCAAGCGUUGUCCGGAUUUAUUGGGCGUAAAGACCUCGUAGGCGGUUCAGUAAGUCGGGUGUGAAAACUCUGGGCUUAACCCAGAGACGCCUCCCGAUACUGCUGUGACUUGAGUCCGGUAGGGGACGUGGCGAUUUCCUGGUGUAGGGGUGAAAUGCGCAGAUAUCAGGUGGAACAACAAUGGCGAAGGCACCACU